AGCGGUAUCGUCUAGUGGUUAGGACGAGAGAUUCUCAUUCUCUAAACAGGGGUUCAAUUCCCCUUACCGCCGCCA
Molecule: transfer RNA, 75 nt
Filed under: Clostridium sp. CAG:715
Lineage: Bacteria; Bacillati; Bacillota; Clostridia; Eubacteriales; Clostridiaceae
Also listed under: 9 other names
Description: transfer RNA-Glu(CTC)
Rfam family: tRNA
About the family: Transfer RNA (tRNA) molecules are approximately 80 nucleotides in length.
Source: RNAcentral